This 500-nucleotide ribosomal RNA is filed under the name uncultured bacterium. Its description in RNAcentral is "partial 16S ribosomal RNA". It matches the Rfam family "Bacterial small subunit ribosomal RNA", at positions 29 to 523 of the family's 1533-position model. The record is from RNAcentral.
AUUGAACGCUGGCGGCAUGCCUUACACAUGCAAGUCGAACGGCAGCACGGGAGCAAUCCUGGUGGCGAGUGGCGAACGGGUGAGUAAUGUAUCGGAACGUGACCAGUCGUGGGGGAUAACGUAGCGAAAGCUACGCUAAUACCGCAUACGAUCUGUGGAUGAAAGAGGGGGACCGUAAGGCCUCGCGCGAUUGGAGCGGCCGAUAUCAGAUUAGGUAGUUGGUGGGGUAAAGGCCUACCAAGCCGACGAUCUGUAGCUGGUCUGAGAGGACGACCAGCCACACUGGGACUGAGACACGGCCUAGACUCCUACGGGAGGCAGCAGUGGGGAAUUUUGGACAAGGGGCGCAAGCCUGAUCCAGCAAGGCCGCGUGCAUGAUGAAGGCCUUCGGGUUGUAAACUGCUUUUGUACGGGGCGAAAAGGCUCUCUCUAAUACAGGGGGCUCAUGACGGUACCGUAAGAAUAAGCACCGGCUAACUACGUGCCAGCCGCCGCCGUAA